GGAUUAGAUACCCUGGUAGUCCACGCUGUAAACGAUGAAUACUAGGUGUGGGGGGACUGACCCCUUCCGUGCCGGAGUUAACACAAUAAGUAUUCCACCUGGGGAGUACGAUCGCAAGAUUGAAACUCAAAGGAAUUGACGGGGGCCCGCACAAGCAGUGGAUUAUGUGGUUUAAUUCGAAGCAACGCGAAGAACCUUACCAGGGUUUGACAUCCAACUAACGAAGCAGAGAUGCAUUAGGUGCCCUUCGGGGAAAGUUGAGACAGGUGGUGCAUGGUUGUCGUCAGCUCGUGCCG
RNAcentral lists this ribosomal RNA (296 nucleotides) under uncultured bacterium. Its description in RNAcentral is "partial 16S ribosomal RNA". It matches the Rfam family "Bacterial small subunit ribosomal RNA", at positions 775 to 1067 of the family's 1533-position model. The record is from RNAcentral.